This 3659-nucleotide long non-coding RNA is filed under the name Lynx pardinus (Iberian lynx). Lineage: Eukaryota; Metazoa; Chordata; Mammalia; Carnivora; Felidae. The record is from RNAcentral.
AGAAAUCUCCUAGAUCCAGAGCCGCUGCUGUGAGGGGAAGUUGGGGCAGCUCCUGAGUUCAGACAGACAGAACAGAAAGGAAAGACUCGGGAGGGAGACAAAGACAGAGGGAGACCACCAGGGCCAGGGAGACAGAGAAGUCGAAAUAGAAGAGAGACGGGGGCACCAAGAGAGGGACAGAGGUGGAAAGAGGGGGAGCACGGCUGCGCCCCCUCAGGAGGCCUCCCUCAGGCAGGAAGCGGGGGACCCGCUAGCACCAGGCCCACUGCCUGCGGAUGAGCGCCAACAUGGCUGCAGCUGUGCCAGCCACUGCGGCUGCUUCCCGGAAGGAGUCUCCAGGCACAUGGGGCCUGGGAGAGGAGCCGGCAGGUAUGGCUUUCCUGGAGGCAGCAUCUGGGCCCUUGGGGGAGCGGAGUGUGGAGGACCUGAGAUUUGCAGAGACCACGAAAAAGAGCCCCAAGGUCUGUGGGCAAGAGUGAGGGGACAGGCCAGCAAACCCAGAAUCCUAGAAAGAGGGGGGUGGGAGGCAGUCAGCAGAGUCGGGAUGGGACAGCUGAACUGAUGGGAAAAGAGGGAGAAGCAGCCUUGGGGUGUGGCAGCCGAGCUCCCAGGGAUGUGGUCAGGAACGUUUCUGUGGGAUGCCAGAGCCUGAAGUCACCUGCAGAGAAGGGAUGGGAGCCGGGGCAGCGGAGGCAGAGAACGUGCUCUUGGAGCCAACUGGCCCCCUGAGGAGGCGGUGGGAGGGCAGAAGCUGGCUGGGGGGGUGGGGGGGGGGGUGUGUGUAGGUAAAGGAGGAGAGAGUGCUAGUGUGUUUAAAUGUGGGUGGGGACCGGAAAGGGAAGGAGGCGGGGAGGGCUCCCAGAGAAGGUGGGAGGGAGGGGUGUGACCCAGCCCUGCCCCUGCCCCUCAGGCGUGGGCCCCUCGCUCCAGUGUCGCGUGUGUGGUGACAGCAGCAGCGGGAAGCACUAUGGCAUCUACGCCUGCAACGGCUGCAGUGGCUUCUUCAAGAGGAGCGUGAGGCGGAGGCUCAUCUACCGGUGAGGGGGGUGGGGCGGGACCCCCACCGGGGUGAGCCCUGGGGGGGGGGAGGGGCCCCGGGGAGGGGUGGAGGAUGUCCAGGGAUGAAGGGACUGGGGGAAACGUGUCCCAAAGCCAAGUCCAGGGCCUGGGUGGGGCACUGACACCCUGGGGCUCGCCUCCUCCUGCAGGUGCCAGGUGGGGGCAGGGAUGUGCCCGGUGGACAAGGCCCACCGGAACCAGUGCCAGGCCUGCCGGCUGAAGAAGUGCUUGCAGGAGGGCAUGAACCAGGAUGGUGAGUCGGGGAGCCGGCCCGGAGAGCUAUAUGACAGCAGAGACGGGGGCACAAGACUGAUGGGGGGUCCUGACCCUUCCUGCCUCCCCAGCUGUGCAGAAUGAACGCCAGCCGCGAAGCACAGCCCAGGUCCGGCUGGCCAGCAUGGAGUCAGAUCCGGAGCGCCGGCUGGAGCCCCUGGGGGCCCCCCUGGCCCCGGCAGGGCCCAGUCCACGGGGCCCCACGCCUGUUUCUGCAGCCAGAGCCCUGGGGCCCGGGGCCCUCACACCUCCAGGUCACCACCACUUCAUGGCCAGCCUUAUAACGGCCGAAACGUGUGCUAAGCUGGAGCCAGAGGACGGUAAGUGGGGGGACGGCUGGGUGCUGGCUGCUGGGUGCUGCCGCAGCAGGCUUUAGCCUCACCCCUGUGGCCCUGAGCGCCCCCUGCCCCUGCCACAGAGCAGCCUCCUCCUCCAACAGCCGAUGAGAAUAUUGAUGUCACCAGCAAUGAUCCCGAGUUUCCCUCAUCCCCAUACUCCUCCUCAUCCCCGUGUGGCCUGGACAGCAUCCAUGAGACAUCAGCUCGCCUUCUCUUUAUGGCCGUCAAGUGGGCCAAGAACCUGCCCGUGUUCUCCAACCUGCCCUUCCGGGAUCAGGUACACGUGUCAGGGGAUGCACUUGGGUCAGCCGGGUUGGGGGCAUAUACACUGUCGUGCAAGCGAUGGUUGGGGGCGGGGGGCCUGAAACCUGGGGAUGGUGGUGACGGUGUGGGGGCACAUGUCUCUGGGUCCGUGUUGGUCAGGGAUACGCGUCUCAGGGACGUGACCAUUGGGGGCGCUCACAUCUCUGGGCAGAGAUGAUGGUGGGACGUGCAGCUAGGAGGUGACGCAGAGACCAGGGAUUUGAAGGCAAUGCCUAUGGCCCCCUGGGUCCUCUCUCCCCCUAGACACACCCUCAGGUCCUACAGUCCCUCUGUGUGACAGGGCAGUCUGCCCUCCCGUCAGCGGCGCGAGCGGGUGACUCUGGGCUCCCCAGGAGCACGAGUGCCUCUGACCUCAGAGCUCCAGUUUCCGCCUAACCUCUUCACCUGUAGGACUUCCCUGGGAGCGUCUCAAGGGCAAGUGGAGGCGUCACGAUAAACCCAGGAAGGGAGGCACACUGAGGGUCUGAGUCCUUGGCCAGUGGUUUGCAAGGGGUGGCUCAGAAGUCAGGCAGAGCCUGCUGAACGCACUCAACUUGGGAUGCCCGUGGGGUGUGCCCCCGAGGCGGCCCAACUUCCCUCGGCUCUCGGAACUUCCCAAAUGUUCCAGCUGAGCCUCUGGGUGGAGGCUAUAGUGUCUUGGAGCCUACGCAGCUGGGCCAGAUCAUACCAAAUCCUAGAACUCUGGGCCCCUGGCCAGUGUCGGGCAGAGGUCAGGAGAAGGUCUGGGCAUCCGGGACCAGCCCUUCCUUUCCUAGGGCCCCAGAGAAGGUGGCGGAGGUUGCAGGCUGAGCCGGACAGGUCGUUUCUCAGUCAUCACACUCGCUGCUUCUUGAGCACAGGUGAUCCUGCUGGAAGAGGCAUGGAGUGAACUCUUCCUCCUCGGAGCCAUACAGUGGUCCCUGCCUCUGGACAGCUGCCCGCUGCUAGCCGCACCUGAGGCCUCCGCUGCCGGCAGCUCCCAGGGCCGCUUGGCACUGGCCAGCGCGGAGAGCCGCGUGCUGCAAGAAACCAUCUCACGCUUCCGAGCGCUGGCGGUGGACCCCACGGAGUUCGCCUGCAUGAAGGCCCUGGUCCUCUUCAAACCAGGUAGCCCAGUCUUUGCCCAGGCCUUAAAGAAAGGCGGUUGGGGUCAAAGAACGACAAUGCCAGUGAUUUCCUUCUGCCUCUCGCUCUGCUUCCACGGCCCCACAUAGCCACAGGUGGGCAGAGGCUUCUUCCCUGGGGGGCAGGAGGAAAGAGGCACGGGCCCGGCUCAUCCCUCCUAAGGGUCCUGGUUGACUGUGGGGGCGGAGGGACCGGAGGGCAGGCUGGGAGAGGAGCUCACUGCCGAUGCUUGUUUCUCUCCAGAAACUCGAGGCCUGAAGGAUCCUGAGCACGUGGAGGCCUUGCAGGACCAGUCCCAAGUGAUGUUGAGCCAGCACAGCAAGGCGCACCACCCCAGCCAGCCUGUGAGGUGACCUGAGCGCGUGCCUCCCUGCCCACCUGUCCCUUCUCCUCUUCACCCUCCCCCCACCGCUUUGACAUCAUCUCUGGGCUGCACUGAUCAGAUGGCCCAAAGGUCUGAGUUCAUCCGGCCCGAAUCCAACAUCCACUGUGUGCCAGGCCCCAGGAGUAGGGACCAAAAUGAGCGUAAGACAAAGUUGCUGCCUUCCAAGGAUGCCAACC